UCCGGUUUAUCACCGGCAGUCGUCCUGUGCAUGUCAAACCCAGGUAAGGUUCUUCGCGUUGCAUCGAAUUAAUCCACAUGCUCCGCCGCUUGUGCGGGCCCCCGUCAAUUCCUUUGAGUUUUAGCCUUGCGGCCGUACUCCCCAGGCGGGGUACUUAAUGCGUUAGCUACGGCACGGAUCCCAAGGAGGGAAACCCACACCUAGUACCCACCGUUUACGGCGUGGACUAC
This 230-nucleotide unclassified non-coding RNA is filed under the name uncultured Mycobacteriaceae bacterium. RNAcentral's name for it is "contains 16S-23S intergenic spacer region". Lineage: Bacteria; Bacillati; Actinomycetota; Actinomycetes; Mycobacteriales; Mycobacteriaceae. The record is from RNAcentral.